CUUUUUUUUUUAAUUGGCUCAUUUGGUAUACAUUUUACUUUUACAUUGAAAUUCUGAGUUGGACUCGUUUUUUGGAAAAUAAUAAUUUAAAAGUGCUGUAUUCUUUUUCCGAAGUUCACUGUUUCUGUUCUUAGAAAUAAUUAUUACUUAGCCAAGUAUAAAAAGCUAAUUAUAAUAAGCUGUUUCUUGAAGUCUGUUGAUGUGAAGUCAUUAUUCUUGUGCUGAGGAAGGAGGUACAAAGGUUUGGCUCAGACACUGGACAACAAUAUUUCAGGCAGAAUGAAAGCGAGCAACCAAACGCUGGAAGCAGUUUCGGAGGGAAAUAAAAGCAUGUGGGAAAACUCCACACAUCCUGAUCAAAUAAAAUAAGCCUAAUCUAACCAGCUUGGCGACUUGGACGUUGAGUAACUCUGAGAGCAUCACCUGCGCAGUCAUCUGCAGCUGUGAUUUAUCCCGUUCUGCUGCGCUCAGGAAUUCCUGGGAACAGGGAGAACCGCGCCGGACUUCUUACUCAUCACCGGGACACGUGUUUGCAGAUGUGCUGCGUUCGCAGAACCAAGCGGCUUAAAAUGCGAGCGCUCUGCAUGUGCUUCCUUUCGUUUCAUCCCGUUUGUUUGGAGAGUUAUGUAAUUUACAUUUAGCUGAUGCUUUUCUCCGAAGCAACUUCAAUGUUAAUCUCCCUACAAUUAUUCACUCACUCAUUUUUAUAGCUGGGUAAUUUCUACAGGCUCAAGGGUACUACAAGAGGAGGUGAGGUGUGAAUCUGUAACCUUCAGGUCCAAAUGCUGCAGCUCUAACCACUACACUAGCAGCUCCAAGCUCUACGCUACCAGCUGUCCCGGUUUAUCCAGGAAAUUUCCUCGGCUGAAGGCGCAGCAGCUGGUUCUGCGCAUCACGUUGCCGUGGGAAACGAUCGAGAGCGUCGCUCUUUGCAGCGCAACGCACAAAUGCGUUGGCACAUCCUGGCACCUGACGGGGGCGCAUUUCAGACAUGUGCUAACGUUCCAGCAUGUUCCUCCCGCAAAAGCACAACCCUCUGUAGAUUUAAAGGCAGCAGAAAGGCGAACGGCUUUGGAAGCAUUAGGACACACGUUUUGGUUCUUUAAAAAAAAAAAAAAAGUAGACGAAGAAGGGGAGAACUACAAAGAGAAGCUGCGGCUGGAUGUCCCUCGUGAAAAGGGUGAAAAAAUAUCACAGCCACAGGAUGUGAGCCAGAGCGCUGGGCCCGCACGGUCGGAAGAGCCCGCAGCGACGAGCAGGCGGCAGCAGCCCUCUGAUAAAAAGGAGACCUCCAGGACAGACAGGAUGUCCCUCCACGCUGUAUAUGGACAUGAGAUUGAAACCUCAGUGCUGGGUUCAGCGUCCUUAGGCCUCCCCCAGAGCCCUGGUCAAGUUCCAUCCAGCUGGGGACUUCUGUCACUGCCCGCAGAACCAGAUUUUAGCCUUAGAGCAAAAUUAGUCAGCGGCUGCAGCUGGUUUCCUCAACAGCCAGUGUGUGUAUCUGCUGUGUUUGCUGAAUAAAACUAUGAAGAUAUGUGUUGACCACAUUGUAAGUGAAUUAUUAAAUUCAAAUUGUGGCCCAAGCAUAACUUCAUAAUUAGAAUUUUUGUCGCACCCUGUGCUUCCGAUCCUGCAUUAGACAGGCAGUGAAUGAGGAUGGACGGACAGAUUGAAGAAUGAAUUAAUGAAUAAUGAUAAAGUGAAGAACUAUUAUGUAACAGGUGGCACAGCGAGGAGCGCUGCUGUCUCAUAGUGCCUGCGUGGUGUGAGAGGACGUGAGUUCAAUUCCUG
Molecule: long non-coding RNA, 1791 nt
Organism: Scleropages formosus (Asian bonytongue)
Lineage: Eukaryota; Metazoa; Chordata; Actinopteri; Osteoglossiformes; Osteoglossidae
Source: Ensembl